RNAcentral lists this ribosomal RNA (451 nucleotides) under uncultured microorganism. RNAcentral describes it as "bacterial SSU rRNA". It matches the Rfam family "Archaeal small subunit ribosomal RNA", at positions 330 to 743 of the family's 1478-position model. The record is from RNAcentral.
GUGCACCAGUCGCGAAUACUUUACAAUGUGCGAAAGCACGAUAAGGGAACUCUGAGUGCCUCCUAAGGAGGCUGUUCUGAUGUCUAAAAAGCAACAGAAGUAAGGGCUGGGUAAGACCGGUGCCAGCCGCCGCGGUAACACCGGCAGCCCAAGUGGUAGCCACGUUUAUUGGGCCUAAAGCGUCCGUAGCCGGCUCGGUAAAUGCCUGGGUAAAUCGUCUGGCCCAACCAGACGAAUUCCGGGUAGACUGCCGGGCUAGGGACCGGAGGAGGGAGAGGGUACUCCAGGGGUAGGGGUGAAAUCAGCAAGGUGAGUUGCUGAUGUAACUUGCCUUGCAAGUCACAAUCCUGUAAUCCCUGGAGGACCACCGGUGGCGAAGGCGCUCUCCUAGGACGGGUCCGACGGUGAGGGACGAAAGCCAGGGGAGCAAACCGGAUUAGAUACCCCCGUA